AAUCCCGCCAGUUCUUCCAUCAGUAUCUGUGUCAUUGUACUGACACAAACAGUGCUUUUAUUCAUUCCAUGUUUUCUUUUCUGUCUGUUUUAGUCACAUGACACACACACGAGUUAGGACUGGAGUACAGAACCAGUGUUUUUGAGGACUAUAAAUGGUCUAAUAAUUUUUUCUGCGACUCUAUGCAUUUUUCUUACCAG
Long non-coding RNA from Sphaeramia orbicularis (orbiculate cardinalfish), 200 nucleotides. RefSeq lists it as uncharacterized. The transcript has 3 exons. NCBI's taxonomy places the organism in Eukaryota, Metazoa, Chordata, Actinopteri, Kurtiformes, Apogonidae. The record is from RefSeq and is a predicted model, not a curated record.